CAGUAGCCGCGGGAAUACGAAGGGGGCUAGCGUUACUCGGAAUUACUGGGCGUAAAGGGCGCGUAGGCGGCACGAUUAGUCAGGCGUGAAAUUCCUGGGCUCAACCUGGGGACUGCGCUUGAUACGGUCGAGCUAGAGGAUGGAAGAGGGUCGUGGAAUUCCCAGUGUAGAGGUGAAAUUCGUAGAUAUUGGGAAGAACACCGGUGGCGAAGGCGGCGACCUGGUCCAUUACUGACGCUGAGGCGCGACAGCGUGGGGAGCAAACAGGAUUAGAUACCCGUGUAGUCCCUGUCUCUUAUAU
This 301-nucleotide ribosomal RNA is filed under the name uncultured bacterium. RNAcentral describes it as "partial 16S ribosomal RNA". It matches the Rfam family "Bacterial small subunit ribosomal RNA", at positions 509 to 809 of the family's 1533-position model. The record is from RNAcentral.